RNAcentral lists this unclassified non-coding RNA (171 nucleotides) under uncultured Ascomycota. RNAcentral describes it as "sequence contains ITS2". Lineage: Eukaryota; Fungi; Ascomycota. The record is from RNAcentral.
CACAACCCCCCAGGCACCUAUCCUUAGGAUAGCGCGCCGGGCGUUGGGGGAUCACCGGCCCUCCCGCCAGUGCCCCCCGUAACUUAGCGGCGUCGAAGCCCGCGGCUCUUGCGUAGUAGAUUGCUCGCAGGGAGCUCGUAGCCUAGACCGUCGGCAAACACGAUAAACAAC